Molecule: transfer RNA, 76 nt
Filed under: Microbacterium hominis
Lineage: Bacteria; Bacillati; Actinomycetota; Actinomycetes; Micrococcales; Microbacteriaceae
Also listed under: 1 other name
Description: tRNA-Trp
Rfam family: tRNA
About the family: Transfer RNA (tRNA) molecules are approximately 80 nucleotides in length. Their secondary structure includes four short double-helical elements and three loops (D, anti-codon, and T loops).
Source: RNAcentral
AUGCCCCUAGCUCAGUGGUAGAGCGGCGGUCUCCAAAACCGCGUCGUGCGAGGUUCGAUUCCUCGGGGGUGUGCCA